CUAGUAACGGCGAGUGAAGCGGCAACAGCUCAAAUUUGAAAUCUGGCUCUUUCAGGGUCCGAGUUGUAAUUUGUAGAGGGCGCUUUGGUGUUGGCUGCGGUCUAAGUUCCUUGGAACAGGACGUCACAGAGGGUGAGAAUCCCGUACGUGGUCGACAGUCUUCACCGUGUAAAGCCCCUUCGACGAGUCGAGUUGUUUGGGAAUGCAGCUCUAAAUGGGAGGUAAAUUUCUUCUAAAGCUAAAUAUUGGCCAGAGACCGAUAGCGCACAAGUAGAGUGAUCGAAAGAUGAAAAGCACUUUGGAAAGAGAGUCAAAAAGCACGUGAAAUUGUUGAAAGGGAAGCGCUUGCAAUCAGACUUGCCUGUAGUUGCUCAUCUGGACUCUUGUCCGGUGCACUCUUCUGCGGGCAGGCCAGCAUCAGUUCAGGCGGCUGGAUAAAGGCCUCUAUCACGUAUCUUCCUUCGGGAUGACCUUAUAGGGGAGGUGUAAUGCAGCCAGCCUGGAUUGAGGUCCGCGCAUCUGCUAGGAUGCUGGCGUAAUGAUUGUAAGCGGCCCGUCUUGAAACACGGACCAAGGAGUCUAACAUCUAUGCGAGUGUUUGGGUGUCAAGCCCGGACGCGCAAUGAAAGUGAACGGAGGUGGGAACCCUCACGGGUGCACCAUCGACCGAUCCUGAUGUCUUCGGAUGGAUUUGAGUAAGAGCAUAGCUGUUGGGACCCGAAAGAUGGUGAACUAUGCCUGAAUAGGGUGAAGCCAGAGGAAACUCUGGUGGAGGCUCGCAGCGGUUCUGACGUGCAAAUCGAUCGUCAAAUUUGGGCAUAGGGGCGAA
RNAcentral lists this ribosomal RNA (829 nucleotides) under Nigrograna mackinnonii. Its description in RNAcentral is "eukaryotic LSU rRNA". It matches the Rfam family "Eukaryotic large subunit ribosomal RNA", at positions 80 to 927 of the family's 3401-position model. Lineage: Eukaryota; Fungi; Ascomycota; Dothideomycetes; Pleosporales; Nigrogranaceae. The record is from RNAcentral.